RNAcentral lists this small RNA (176 nucleotides) under Crocodylus porosus (Australian saltwater crocodile). RNAcentral's name for it is "TUC338 (ENSCPRG00005007528.1)". Lineage: Eukaryota; Metazoa; Chordata; Crocodylia; Crocodylidae. The record is from RNAcentral.
AAGAGCCCUAGAAACGAAGUCCUUUGUUCAUAAGCCAUGUACAGUGCAGACAACAGCAAAAGCAGCAAUCCAUUUCCCUGCACACUGCCAGCAAGCUUAACCCUGAGUUGGAAAGACCAUACUCUGGAGAGGCGAAAGGAAAUUCAUUCUCUGAGCUAACUCAGACCUGUACUUCC